RNAcentral lists this ribosomal RNA (114 nucleotides) under Pteropus alecto (black flying fox). The record is from RNAcentral. Lineage: Eukaryota; Metazoa; Chordata; Mammalia; Chiroptera; Pteropodidae.
GUCUACGGCCAUGCCACCCUGAAUAAGCCUGAUCCCGUCUGAUCUUGGAAGCUAAGCUAGGCCUGGUUAGUACUUGGAUGGGAGACCACCUAGGAAGACCAGGUGCUGUAGGUG